AAAGCCAAAGCUCCUGCCAAAGAAAUGUGUGGAGCAGAAAAGAAAACCCAGAGCAGAAUGUCAAGAGCAAGGAUGUGUUGGGACAGGAAAUGAAGACGAGAUUGAGAGAGGUCAUGCAGAAUCAGGUCACAUUCCGGAGGGAAGAAGGAGCAAAGGCACAUGAUGAGUGAGUGCUAAUUAAGGUGGCCAAAGAGAACAGCGUGGUGCUGUAAAUGCCGGCAGAGCAAGGAGCCCUGCUGCCAGCCUGACCUAACACAGGCACGUUGAUGAAAAUGGAAAAGGAUGGCUGGAGGCCUCCAGUUGCAAAGCUCUCCAUUGUCAGAUUACGCUGCCCGAUGGGCAUGAAAAGUCCACAAAAGAGAAUUUUCUGAUGUGAGAAUGGAGGGUGUUGCCUGCAACUACCCCAGAUCCCUGCGGUGGCAGUUUAAGCCGCCUCCUGGAACAGAUUGUUAAGCUGAUGCGAGUCUGGGCUCUGCCUCACCACUUGUCUCAGAGACAGAGUCUUGCUCUGUCACCUAGGCUGGAGUGCAGUGGUGCCAUCACAGCUCACUGCAGCCUUGACCUCCCCGUGCUCAAGUGAUCCUCACACCUCAGCCUCCCGAGUAGCCGGGAUCACAAGAAAGACCUGAUGUCAUACGGAAGCCAAGAAGAAACUGUUUGAGGAGAAACCUUUUGUCCAAUUUGUAGGGAAAGCAGAGAGACAGAGAGACAGAGAGAGCUUCAGCUUGGUUUCAAAACAAGGAUGGAAAUACAGAACAACUUAAGUUACCAGCACACUUCAUAACAAUUAAAAAUCAUUUUGCUUCUUCCUUCUGCCAGCAUAAUUUUGGGCUCACAGGUGGAUUGACCUGACCUCCAGGAAAUGUGUGACAAGGACUCGCCCCUCACCUCCUCAGUUACAGCACAUGUUUGGUGUUUAUGUGAAGCUGGUGGCUUUCAGUAUCACGGUGAAAAUUUUCUUUUAGGUCAUAAUUGCGUAACUACAAUGAAAAGUAUUGAUUUUGGAAAAGGCUCAUCUUUCCAAAGAGGUUCACGUCAGGAGGUGAAUUAAUGUGCUCCAGGG
This 1063-nucleotide long non-coding RNA is filed under the name Pongo abelii (Sumatran orangutan). Its description in RNAcentral is "lincRNA". Lineage: Eukaryota; Metazoa; Chordata; Mammalia; Primates; Hominidae. The record is from RNAcentral.